CAGUAGCCGCGGUAAUACGGAGGAUCCAAGCGUUAUCCGGAUUUAUUGGGUUUAAAGGGUGCGUAGGUGGCUUUUUAAGUCAGGGGUGAAAGACGGUAGCUUAACUAUCGCAGUGCCUUUGAUACUGAAGAGCUUGAAUGGACUAGAGGUAGGCGGAAUGUGACAAGUAGCGGUGAAAUGCAUAGAUAUGUCACAGAACACCAAUUGCGAAGGCAGCUUACUAUGGUUUAAUUGACACUGAGGCACGAAAGCGUGGGGAUCAAACAGGAUUAGAUACCCGCGUAGUCCCUGUCUCUUAUAC
This 301-nucleotide ribosomal RNA is filed under the name uncultured bacterium. RNAcentral describes it as "partial 16S ribosomal RNA". It matches the Rfam family "Bacterial small subunit ribosomal RNA", at positions 509 to 807 of the family's 1533-position model. The record is from RNAcentral.